Molecule: long non-coding RNA, 432 nt
Organism: Parasteatoda tepidariorum (common house spider)
Lineage: Eukaryota; Metazoa; Arthropoda; Arachnida; Araneae; Theridiidae
Source: RefSeq, a predicted model, not a curated record
UACAUUAUUUUACAAACCCAAUUUGUAAGGAAUGUCACUGUCUAAGAGAAAAUUUCUUUGGAUUCUUAGUUAUUUAUUUAAGAUAAUUUUUUUGUUAUUAGUGUUAUGAAUUAUCUCAAUGUUUUUAUUUUUAGUAUUCAAACCAAAUGAUGAUGUAAAUUUGUUAGCAUUGCACAUUAUUGCUCAGAAAAGCCUGUGUUCAUCGAUCUGAAGCUAGGUUUCAAGCCAUCACCAGAUGUGUAAAAAUUUCCGAGAAUGGCGUAGAUCAAUACCAGAUCUACUAAAAGUCAAGGAAAGAAAUAUCCGGGAACUCUGAAGCAAUUGCAGCUGUUGAAAGAAUGCAGUUUAUUCAUAAAUUCGGUUGUAAUCUAAGGUUUAUGAUUCGUGGAAUCUGUGCAGCAUUUUGCCUUAAUAAAGCAACUAUUAAAAUGC